This 386-nucleotide ribosomal RNA is filed under the name uncultured crenarchaeote. RNAcentral's name for it is "partial 16S ribosomal RNA". It matches the Rfam family "Archaeal small subunit ribosomal RNA", at positions 474 to 859 of the family's 1478-position model. The record is from RNAcentral. Lineage: Archaea; Thermoproteati; Thermoproteota.
UACCAGCUCUCCGAGUGGUCGUGGACGUUUAUUGGGCCUAAAGCAUCCGUAGCYGGUYGUGCAAGUCCYCUGUUAAAUCCACCKRCUUAAYCGAUGGKCUGCGGGGGAUACUGCUCGGCUAGGGGACGAGAGAGGCAGACGGUAUUCCCGGGGUAGGGGUGAAAUCYUAUAAUCCCGAGAAGACCACCAGUGGCGAAGGCUGUCUGCUAUAACGCGCCCGACGGUGAGGGAUGAAAGCUGGGGGAGCGAACCGGAUUAGAUACCCGGGUAGUCCCAGCUGUAAACGAUGCAGACUAGGUGUUKGGACGGCCWCGUGCCGUUCUAGUGCCGCAGGGAAGCUGUUAAGUCUGCCGCCUGGGGAGUACGAUCGCAAGAUUGAAACUUAA